RNAcentral lists this ribosomal RNA (340 nucleotides) under uncultured soil bacterium. RNAcentral describes it as "bacterial SSU rRNA". It matches the Rfam family "Bacterial small subunit ribosomal RNA", at positions 26 to 395 of the family's 1533-position model. The record is from RNAcentral.
AGAACGAACGCUGGCGGCAUGCCUAAUACAUGCAAGUCGAACGAACACUUCGGUGUUAGUGGCGCACGGGUGCGUAACGCGUGGGAAUCUGCCCUUGGGUUCGGAAUAACAGUUGGAAACGACUGCUAAUACCGGAUGAUGACGAAAGUCCAAAGAUUUAUCGCCCAGGGAUGAGCCCGCGUAGGAUUAGCUAGUUGGUGAGGUAAAGGCUCACCAAGGCGACGAUCCUUAGCUGGUCUGAGAGGAUGAUCAGCCACACUGGGACUGAGACACGGCCCAGACUCCUACGGGAGGCAGCAGUAGGGAAUAUUGGACAUGGGCNCAAGCCUGAUCCAGCAAU